RNAcentral lists this ribosomal RNA (463 nucleotides) under uncultured bacterium. RNAcentral's name for it is "partial 16S ribosomal RNA". It matches the Rfam family "Bacterial small subunit ribosomal RNA", at positions 28 to 507 of the family's 1533-position model. The record is from RNAcentral.
GAUGAACGCUGACAGAAUGCUUAACACAUGCAAGUCUUUGGCGAAGCUGUGCUUGCACAGCCUAGCCAAGGCGGACGGGUGAGUAACGCGUAAGGAACUUGCCCUGCAGUCAGGGAUAACAGACGGAAACGACUGAUAAGACCUGGUAAAGUCAGGCGGACUCAUGUCCAGCCUGAUGAAAAGAGAUGCUGCAGGAGAGCCUUGCGUCCUAUUAGCUUGUUGGUGGGGUAACGGCCCACCAAGGCGAUGAUAAGUAGCCGGCCUGAGAGGGUGGACGGCCACAAGGGGACUGAGAUACGGCCCUUACUCCUACGGGAGGCAGCAGUGGGGAAUAUUGGACAAUGGGGGCAACCCUGAUCCAGCAAUUCUGUGUGAACGAUGAAGGUUUUCGGAUUGUAAAGUGCUUUCAGCAGGGAAGAAAAAAAUGACGGUACCUGCAGAAGAAGCGACGGCUAAAUACGUG